GCUGGCGGCGUGCUUAACACAUGCAAGUCGUACGAGGACUAGAGUAGUCUUGCUCUCUAUAGUCCGAGUGGCGAACGGGUGAGUAACACGUGACCAACCUGUCUUCAGGUGAGGGACAACCUGGGGAAACCCGGGCUAAUACCGCAUGAUGUCUGUUUUUCACAUGGGAAAGAGACCAAAGAGGGCCUCUGCUUGCAUGCUCUCGCCUGAUGAGGGGGUCGCGUCGUAUCAUGCUUGUUGGUGAGGUAACGGCUCACCAAGGCAAUGACGCGUAGCGGGUCUGAGAGGACGAUCCGCCACAUUGGGACUGAGAUACGGCCCAGACUCCUACGGGAGGCAGCAGUGGGGAAUAUUGCGCAAUGGUCGAAAGACUGACGCAGCGACGCCGCGUGUGGGAGGAAGCCUUUCGGGGUGUAAACCACUGUCAGGGGGGAAGAAUCCCCGGGUGUCCGAAUAGGGCACCCGAUUGACGGUACCUCCAGAGGAAGCGCCGGCUAACUCCGUGCCAGCAGCCGCGGUAAGACGGAGGGCGCAAGCGUUGUUCGGAAUUACUGGGCGUAAAGCGCACGCAGGCGGGCUGCUAAGUCCUUUGUGAAA
RNAcentral lists this ribosomal RNA (597 nucleotides) under uncultured bacterium. Its description in RNAcentral is "bacterial SSU rRNA". It matches the Rfam family "Bacterial small subunit ribosomal RNA", at positions 35 to 599 of the family's 1533-position model. The record is from RNAcentral.